CAGCCGCCGCGGUAAUACGUAGGGGGCGAGCGUUGUCCGGAAUUAUUGGGCGUAAAGCGCGCGCAGGCGGUCCCUUAAGUCUGAUGUGAAAGCCCACGGCUCAACCGUGGAGGGUCAUUGGAAACUGGGGGACUUGAGUGCAGAAGAGGAGAGCGGAAUUCCACGUGUAGCGGUGAAAUGCGUAGAGAUGUGGAGGAACACCAGUGGCGAAGGCGGCUCUCUGGUCUGUAACUGACGCUGAGGCGCGAAAGCGUGGGGAGCAAACAGGAUUAGAUACCCUGGUAGUCCACGCCGUAAACGAUGAGUGCUAAGUGUUAGAGGGGUUAAACCCUUUAGUGCUGUAGCUAACGCGUUAAGCACUCCGCCUGGGGAGUACGGCCGCAAGGCUGAAACUUAAAGGAAUUGGCAGG
RNAcentral lists this ribosomal RNA (410 nucleotides) under uncultured microorganism. RNAcentral describes it as "bacterial SSU rRNA". It matches the Rfam family "Bacterial small subunit ribosomal RNA", at positions 509 to 917 of the family's 1533-position model. The record is from RNAcentral.